Long non-coding RNA from Passer domesticus (house sparrow), 1425 nucleotides. RefSeq lists it as uncharacterized. The record is from RefSeq and is a predicted model, not a curated record. Lineage: Eukaryota; Metazoa; Chordata; Aves; Passeriformes; Passeridae. The transcript has 2 exons.
CUGUCAGCUAACACAGGUGUAAGGCCUAUAAAAGGUAGCCCCUAUAUUGUGUAAACAGUGAACUAUUACAGUUAAAAGCUAAGUCAUUUGUACAGAAGACUGCAUUAAUCAUGCUAAAAUAUUUCCUUUUCAUUUUUUUUUUGUGUGGAAAUACUCUGAAAAAACAGCUUUCUGUAAGGAUUUUAAACUGACUGGACUGCAGAUCAUGCACUUGUGGAGUUCACAGUCCUGAAGGAUAUGGGUCAUGCAAAGAACAAAUUUUAGGAAAACAGACUUCCAGCUGCUCAAGAAGUUAGUUAGUAGGACUACUAGGGAAACUGCCCUCAGGGACAAGGUUAAAAAAAAAUUUUAAGGAUGCUUUCCACGGAGCACAAACACUAGCAAUCCCAAAAUGAAAAAAAGCAAGAGAAAGCGAGUAACCAGCAUGAGUGAGUGGCGACCUGCUGGUCAGAGUAAAGCAUAAGAAGGAAAUGCACAAAUUGCAGUGGAAGCAGGCACAGGUAUCCUGGGAAGUCUAUAGGGACUCUGUCCAGUUGUGUAGAGAUGAGAACAGGAAGGUUAAGGGCCAGAUGGAGCUGAACUUUGGAGGGGAUGAAGAGAGGGCCAAGGGCUUCUACAGAUAUGUCAGCCAGAAAAGAAAGGCCCAGGAGAGACUGCCUUCUGUGAUAAACAAGGCUGGCAAACUCCAUGACAGGGCAGAGGUACUCAACAAGUGUUUUGCCUUAGUCUUCACUGGCAACUGUGAAGACUUCACUGUCUUCCCACACCUCUCAAGUAGAAGGACCACUAGGACUGGAGGAGCAAACUCCCUCCUGGUGUGAGAGAAUAUCAGGUUUGUGAGCACCUGAGGAACCUGGAUAUGCACAAAUCUAUUGCACCUGAUGAGAUGAAGCCCUGAGUCCUGAGGGAAUUGACUGAUGUGGUUGCCAAGCAACUCUCCAUGCUAUUUGAAAAGUCAAGGCAGUCAGAUGACUAUGACCUGUCAACACCAUCUCUGCCUGGGAAAGUCAUGGAACAGAUCUUCCUGGAAGGUAUGCUAAAGCAUGUGGAGAAGAGGGAGGUGAUUCAAGGCCUGCAUGGUUUCACCAAGAGCAAGUUCUGUCUGAGCAGCCUAGUGCUCUUCUCUGAUGGAGUGACCACAUUAGGGGAUGAGAGAGAAGCUAUGGAUGCCAUCAACCCCUUCUUGUAUUUUUGAUUUUGUGGGAUUUGCAUCAAAUUCAGUGAAUGAGAAAGGAGAUAUGACAAGUUCUUCCAGAUGUCUCCAGUAAUCUUCCAGAAACAGCAGCAUUUGAAAGUACAGCUAAGAGGCAAAACUCCAAUCCCAAACCAAAUGAAAGACAAGAUUGCCUGGUUUAGCACUUGAACUGGAUAUUCUUUCCAGAUUUGCAUUAAACACAGUUAGUAGUCCUGGUGAAGUAGAAAAUA